AAUAAAUCAAAGGACCAACCAAAAAUAGUUUAAGGGACUUAAUCACAUCAUUUGUGGGAUUUCUAAGAGUUUACGGCCAAGGCUUGUUCUUGGGCCGUAAACUCCAAGAUUUUUGGUGUUAGAAUGCAAACUAAACACCCCUAAAGCCUUUAGAUGAAUUUUAGAAGCCCUUCUAUGCAAGUUUUAGACCUUGAAACACUUUGUAUCACCCUAUAUAAGAGUUUACGGCCAUGAGGAGGGUCUCAUGGGCCGUAAACUCCAUAACACCCCUCAAAUGUCCCAUAAAACUCAUGCUAGGUCUUGGAAUAAUCCUAUUAAUCACAUGUGAUUUGUUUUAACAACAUUUAACACCAUUUUCAUGAAGAUUAAGGAGUUUACGGCCAGGAGCCUAUACUAGGCCGUAAACUCCCAUAAAAUAAUCAUUUUGAUGAUUUAAAUUCAUUCCAAGUGUUCCAAUGCAUUUUAGAUAAUCCAUUCUAGCAAUCCCCAUGUCCAUUUAAGCCCUUAGAUCAUCAAAACCACACCAACAUGAGUUUACGGCCGUAAACUCAUGUGUGGGUGUGUUUUAUGGUUGUAAACUCAUUUAAAUGUUUACUUAUGGAGAGUAAACUCAAGUCCCAAGUCCCUAGUGCCAUUACAAGUCCGAAGAUGUCACCCGGGUCACUCCAAACGCUCGUUUUGAGGUGUUUAACCUCAUUGGAGUGUAAUGUUCCAUAUGAUUAGUGAAUGUAUCUCUAAAUGUAUAUAUAUGGACAUUAUUUCAUUUUACAUAGGGACAUCGCGAGUAAUCAAACCCCGAACCAACGUCUAGUAUCCAAAACCGACACGUUUCCGAGUCCGGUGAGUUCAUACCCCUACCUUUUUCACUGUUUUUCACUGUUUUCAGGGGGGAACACAAGCAAAGUACAAGGGUUUUCUUGUACUCAAAACUUAUUUUUCGUGUGUGUGUGUCACAUUUCUUAUGCUUUUAAUACUGAUAUACGUAACUGAUAACCAGUAGAUCAUACAAUUCACUUAAACAUUUAUUUGUGAAAUGGAUUUUAUAAACGGUUAUGUUUUAUAUAUAUUUCACAAAUGGUUUCCACAUUUUAUCAGUUAAAAGCAUGACAUUAUAACACAUGAACAAUAUAAUUCGUACACUGUCUUGUCCUCGGUAACAUUCCACAGAGAUACGCGAAUGGAGGAUUAUCCUAUUAUUACUAGUAAAUUUGUUAUUCCGUAUGAUUGGAGACACGUCCUCGGCGAACACUCCACAGAGAUACGCGAGUGGAGGACUACACCCGUAACCAGAAUCUCUGGGAUUUAGAGAGCGUGACUUGAGUGUAUAGAUCUAUACGGGGCUGACUACCCCACACCUGGCUGCUAGCUACAGCCGAACCAAAAUGGUUCAAGGGUGACGAAAGUCAUAAGGAUUGUGGACCACUUAUUGCCACAAGGCUGUGGACUACUUAUUGCCACAGGUUCAGUCUUUAGUAUGGUUAUGGAACUCGCAACUAGGAUAACAGAGAUUUACUAAUAGUAAUAAUGAAUCACAUACUACAUUUUACAGAUAACCAGGAUUCAGUUUACAUCUUUUACAUCUUUUACAUCUUUUACAUAUGAUAACCAACCUUCAGGAAGGUAUGGGACCUUCCUGGGAAAUCUUGUACACAACCAGGUCUAACAGAAUACAUCUUUUACAUUGAAAACAAACAUACAGGAAAGCAUGGGGCAUUCCUGGGUAACCUACACAUAAUCAGACAAGAGUAACCAACUGAAUAACAUUACAUCUUUUACAAUAACUACACUUCAGGAAAGUAUGGGACUUUCCUGGGAAUACACUGAUACAUUAAAGACAUAAAACAAUGUACCGGAUAACUAAACCAUACAUUACUCUUAUGAAACAACAACCAACUUUUAAGAAAAUAUGGGAUUUUCUUGGUGUGUGUUACAUUUUCAGAAACAGAAAGGAAACAUAAACAUUUUCACAAAACAAAACUGCUUAUGAACUCACCAGCGUUAUGCUGAUUUUCAAAUUGCUUGUGUUCUCAGGUCAACGAUAGUACAGGUACCCGAAGACUUACUUGGUUAAGGAUCGUGUGCGUGCAAGGCUCGUUCAUUUUGUUUAUAUCUAUAUUAUGUAUCACAACUGUAUAAACUGUGUCUUUUGAAACAAAUUGUAAAACUUUUAAUAUGUAAUGUAAUGUUUGUUUCACUUUACUUACUAUGUACAUUGGAUUUGAUACUCAACGUGGAGUCAACCCCGGAAAUGUUUCCGCCUUCGGUUUUCGGGGUGUGACAGAUUGGUAUCAGAGCCCUUGUUUAUAGUGAAUAAAGUAUACCAAACCUUACAUGGUAUAAAACUAUAAACACUAAAGGGCCUAAGUGCUCUGAAAUAAAAGUAUCUCCAGACUACAAGUAUUUUCAAAAAUAUACAAGUAUACCGAACCGUCGAGAUUCGUAUCUAUAAGUAGAACAAAACAUAAGUAAAUGGGUGUUGUGUAUUGCAGUUAAACCUGGGCAGUUAUGUAGUCGUGUCUAGGGUCAAUAUAGCCUGGCCAACUAUAUUCAUUCGAGACACGGCCAACAUGUGCUUGGGAGUGAUUGUGGUAUGCGGCAUGCCUAAAACUUACCCUAAUACCACAAACAUCGAGCCAGUAUCGUAACAAACCAUGAAAUACUAUGGGAGUAUUUCUCGAAUAAUCGUACAUGUAUAGACCCCCGAUCAUUCCAUUAGCGAUAGUAUACUUGCUUCAAUAACUCUUUCCUGCUUUACCGCUUAAUUGGAAUUAAUACCUGUCAUAUCUCUCGAUUCAGAGGACUUAUCAUCCUCUCUCUUUAUUGAUCUUAUUAGAUCAAGAUGCCUCCCAGGAAGAGACCCAGCUCCAACAACCCUCCGCCACCUCCUCCUGAAAUCGAUCCCGUGUUAUUUCAAACAGCUGUUACCGCCGCGGUGGCAGCUGCCAUGUCCCAGCUAAAUACCGGUGGUUCAGGAGGUAGUAAUCAAAAUCAAGAUGGUAAUCAGGAACGCCGUAAGGAGGGUUCCUAUAAGGACUUCAUGAAUGCGAAGCCUUCUUUCUUCAAUGGCACUGGUGGUGUCAUUUCCUUAUCCCGAUGGUUCGAGAGAAUCGAAUCCAUCUUCGAAAUCUGUGCCUGUGAUGAGUCCGAUAAGGUCAAGUUCGCAGCUUGUACCUUCCUUGAUAAAGCAUUGACUUGGUGGAAUGGCCGAGUCAAAUCCUUAACUCUCCCUGUAGCCAAUGCCAUGGGCUGGGAGACUAUGAAAGAACUCCUCCUUGCUGAAUAUUGUCCCCGAGGCGAAAUGCAGAAGCUAGAGCACGAGCUCUGGAACCUGAAGAUGAAAGGUUCCGAUAUUGCUGCCUACACUUCCCGAUUUGAUGAUCUUGCCCUUCUUUGCCCUGGUCUAGUCACCCCUGAAAGCAAAAAGAUCGAGAGGUUUAUUUGGGGGUUAACUAAUCCGACAAAAGGUCAUGUCUUAGCUGCUCGCCCAGAUACUUAUGAUAGUGCUAAGACUCUAGCCCAAGCUAUAAUUCACCACAGUGAUGAUGUUGAGGAAGCCACCACUGCUACCCCUGAAUCGACCAAAAGCAGUGGUGAGAAAAGGAAAUUUUGGAAGAAGAAGAAGGGUCAAUCUUCCCAAGGCUCCUCCAAAAGACAACAAACAGUAGCAGUUCAUGUUGCUACUACCCCCAUAGCUGCUGCUUCUGUUGUAGGAUCCACAACACCAACUCCUACCAACCGAUAUGUUGGUAACCUCCCUCUGUGUGAAAAAUGCAAAUAUCACCACAACCCUGGUCCCUGUCGAGAAUUAUCCUGUACAUAUUGUGGUAAGAAGGGGCACACUGUUCGAUACUGCAAAGCUCCGACUCAAUCAGCAAAUCAAUCCUCUGGAACAGGCGUUGGUCAAGCCUGUUAUAACUGUGGUGAAGCCGGGCACUUUAAAAGGAACUGCCCCAAGAAGACUACUGCUGGCAACACCGGAAGGGUCCUUGCUAUGGGACGGGAAGAAGCAGUCGCCGAUCCCAAUGUUGUCUCGGGUACGUUUCUUCUCGACAACUCGUAUGCUAAUAUUCUUUUCGAUUCGGGCGCUGAAAGAAGUUUUAUUAGUCAUGCAUUCAAACAUAACCUAAAACAUGAUUCCCAACCUCUAACUGAAAUGUUUACCGUCGAAAUGGCAAACGGAGAGAAAGAAAGUGCGAGUGAGGUAUUCGUAGAUUGCACUCUUACCUUAAACGACCAUUCAUUUCCUAUCGAUCUUAUGCCCGUAUCCAUAAAGAGCUUUGAUGUCAUUAUUGGCAUGGAUUGGUUGAGUCCCAAUCAUGCAGAUAUCCUUUGCUUCGAAAAAGCCAUCCGUCUUAACCUUCCUUCGGGUCAAACUCUAGUGAUCUAUGGCGAUAAACUCGGUUCCAACCUUCGUAUCAUUUCCUGCAUCAAAGCUCAGAAACUCCUGCGAAAGGAGUGUAUUGCAUUCUUAGCCCAUGUAAUCAAUGAGAAACAAGAAGUUAAAGACCUCGCGAGCAUCCCCGAGGUCUGUAAUUUUCCUGAUGUGUUUCCCGAAGAGCUUCCAGGAAUUCCUCCCGAACGUCAGGUCGAGUUCCGUAUUGACCUAAUUCCUGGGGCUACUCCUGUAGCGAAGUCUCCGUAUCGCUUAGCUCCAGCAGAGAUGCAGGAGCUAUCCAGUCAACUUAACGAGUUGCUUAGCAAAGGAUUCAUUAGACCGAGUUCCUCACCCUGGGGAGCCCCGGUUUUGUUUGUCAAGAAGAAGGAUGGAUCCUUUCGUAUGUGUAUUGAUUAUCGUGAGCUAAACAAGUUGACUGUCAAAAACCGAUAUCCUCUUCCUCGAAUAGAUGACCUUUUCGAUCAACUCCAGGGAGCCAGUUACUUCUCUAAGAUAGACCUUCGGUCAGGGUACCAUCAGUUGCGAGUUCAUGAAAGUGAUGUGCCCAAAACAGCUUUCAGGACUCGAUAUGGACACUACGAGUUCGUAGUGAUGCCCUUCGGUUUAACCAACGCACCGGCAGUGUUCAUGGAUCUGAUGAACCGGGUGUGUCGUCCUUAUUUGGAUAAGUUUGUCAUAGUAUUCAUCGAUGACAUACUCGUCUAUUCCCGAAGUGAAGAAGNUAGUGUUGGAGACCCUGCAAUCCGAGAAGAUAUACGCAAAGUUUUCAAAAUGUGAGUUCUGGAUACGGAAGGUAACUUUCCUUGGACAUGUGAUAAGUGAGGAAGGGAUUCAUGUUGAUCCUUCCAAGAUUAAGGCAAUAGAGAAUUGGUCAGCACCGAAGACACCCACAGAAAUCCGACAAUUCUUGGGUCUCGCUGGCUAUUAUCGAAGGUUCAUCCAAAACUUUUCCCGAAUCGCCAAACCUCUAACCACUCUAACUCAGAAAGGUGCACCCUUUUGUUGGGGUGAUAAACAAGAGACCGCAUUUCAAACAUUGAAGGAAGCUUUGUGCAGCGCGCCUGUCCUAUCCCUACCCGAAGGGACAGAGGACUUUAUUGUCUACUGCGAUGCGUCUACUCAAGGAGCAAGCUUGGGCCGUAAACUCCAUUAAAUGUGGUUUUUAAGCUCUUAAACUCCUUCCUAAACUAAAUUGGACUUUAGAUAUGGCUAUGGGACUUCAAGAUAUGGACUUAGAACAACUGAAAAUUUGAUUUUGAGCCAUUUGAAGGAGUUUACGGCCAAGGCAUAAGCUUGGGCCGUAAACUCAUGUAAAAGGGGUUUUUCAUGCCCUUAAACCCUUCCAAAUCACUUCUAUGGCUUAGAUAUGAAUUAUAGGACUUUGGUUCUAGCAUUUGGACACUUGAAACAUGAAUUUUGGGGGAUUUAGAUGAGUUUACGGCCAAGGUGAGUGCUUGGGCCGUAAACUCCCUAAAACUUGAUAUAAAUCCAAUUCUAAGGUGUUAGAAAGCCAUCCAACACCACCAAAAGCCUUGGAAUAAAUCAAGGGACCAACCAAAAAAUACUUCAAGGGCCUUAAACACAUCAUUCAUGGGAUUUCUAAGAGUUUACGGCCAAGGCUUGUUCUUGGGCCAUAAACUCCAAAAAUUUUGGUGUUAGAAUGCAAACUAAACACCUCUAAAGCCUUUAGAUGAAUUUUAGAAGCCCUUCUAUGCAAGUUUUAGACCUUGAAUCACUUUGUAUCAACCUAUAUAAGAGUUUACGGCCAUGAGGAGGGUCUCAUGGGCCGUAAACUCCAUAACACCCCUCAUAUGUCCCAUAAAACUCAUACUAGGUCUUGGAAUAAUCCUAUUAAUCACAUGUGAUUUGUUUUAACAACAUUUAACACCAUUUUCAUGAAGAUUAAGGAGUUUACGGCCAGGAGCCUAUAUUAGGCCGUAAACUCCCAUAAAAUAAUCAUUUUGAUGAUUUAAAUUCAUUCCAAGUGUUCCAAUGCAUUUUAGAAAAUCCAUUAUAGCAAUCCCCAUGUUCAUUUAAGCCCUUAGAUCACCAAAACCACACCAACAUGAGUUUACGGCCAUAAACUCAUGUGUGGGUGUGUUUUAUGGUUGUAAACUCAUUUAAAUGUUUACUUAUGGAGAGUAAACUCAAGUCCCAAGUCCCUAGUGCCAUUACAAGUCCGAAGAUGUCACCCGGGUCACUCCAAACGCUCGUUUUGAGGUGUUUAACCUCAUUGGAGUGUAAUGUUCCAUAUGAUUAGUGAAUGUAUCUCUAAUUGUAUAUAUAUGGACAUUAUUUCAUUUUACAUAGGGACAUCGCGAGUAAUCAAACCCCGAACCAACGUCUAGUAUCCAAAACCGACACGUUUCCGAGUCCGGUGAGUUCAUACCCCUACCUUUUUCACUGUUUUUCAUUGUUUUCAGGGGGGGACACAAGCAAAGUACAAGGGUUUUCUUGUACUCAAAACUUAUUUUUCGUGUGUGUGUUUCACAUUUCAUAUGCUUUAAUACUGAUAUACGUAACUGAUAACCAGUAGAUCAUGCAGUUCACUUAAACCUUUAUUUGUGAAAUGGAUUUUAUAAACGGUUAUGUUUUAUAUAUAUUUCAC
RNAcentral lists this long non-coding RNA (7004 nucleotides) under Lactuca sativa (garden lettuce). Its description in RNAcentral is "long non-coding RNA (LSAT_LNC009437)". The record is from RNAcentral. Lineage: Eukaryota; Viridiplantae; Streptophyta; Magnoliopsida; Asterales; Asteraceae.